AUGGUGAAAAAUCAGACAAUGGUCACAGAGUUCCUCCUACUGGGAUUUCUCCUGGGCCCAAGGAUUCAGAUGCUCCUCUUUGGGCUCUUCUCCCUGUUCUAUGUCUUCACCCUGCUGGGGAAUGGGACCAUCCUGGGGCUCAUCUCACUGGACUCCAGACUCCACACCCCCAUGUACUUCUUCCUCUCACACCUGGCCGUCGUCAACAUCGCCUAUGCCUGCAACACAGUGCCCCAGAUGCUGGUGAACCUCCUGCAUCCAGCCAAGCCCAUCUCCUUUGCUGGCUGCAUGACAUAGACCUUUCUCUUUUUGAGUUUUGCACAUACUGAAUGCCUCCUGUUGGUGCUGAUGUCCUACGAUCGGUACGUGGCCAUCUGCCACCCUCUCCGAUAUUUCAUCAUCAUGACCUGGAAAGUCUGCAUCACUCUGGCCAUCACUUCCUGGACAUGUGGCUCCCUCCUGGCUAUGGUCCAUGUGAGCCUCAUCCUAAGACUGCCCUUUUGUGGGCCUCGUGAAAUCAACCACUUCUUCUGUGAAAUCCUGUCUGUCCUCAGGCUGGCCUGUGCUGAUACCUGGCUCAACCAGGUGGUCAUCUUUGCAGCCUGCAUGUUCAUCCUGGUGGGACCACUCUGCCUGGUGCUGGUCUCCUACUCACACAUCCUGGCGGCCAUCCUGAGGAUCCAGUCUGGGGAGGGCCGCAGAAAGGCCUUCUCCACCUGCUCCUCCCACCUCUGCGUAGUGGGACUCUUCUUUGGCAGCGCCAUCGUCAUGUACAUGGCCCCUAAGUCCCGCCAUCCUGAGGAGCAGCAGAAGGUCCUUUUUCUAUUUUACAGUUCUUUCAACCCGAUGCUAAACCCCCUGAUUUACAACCUGAGGAAUGUAGAGGUCAAGGGUGCCCUGAGGAGAGCACUGUGCAAGGAAAGUCAUUCC
Homo sapiens (human) is the source of this 930-nucleotide RNA transcript. It is a transcript of the gene named olfactory receptor family 2 subfamily A member 20 pseudogene, with no coding region annotated. The record is from RefSeq and is marked provisional. The transcript has a single exon. NCBI's taxonomy places the organism in Eukaryota, Metazoa, Chordata, Mammalia, Primates, Hominidae.